CCCUUAGAUGUUCUGGGCCGCGCGCGCGCUACACUGAUGCAUUCAACGAGUUUCUUCCUGGUCCGAGAGGAAUGGGUAACCUUUUGAAAGUGCAUCGUGAUAGGGAUAGACUAUUGCAAUUAUUGGUCUUCAACGAGGAAUUCCUAGUAGACGUAGUUCAUCAGACUGCAUCGAUUACGUCCCUGCCCUUUGUACACACCGCCCGUCGCUCCUACCGAUUGAAUGCUCAGGUGAGCCAUUCGGACUUUCAUCAUGCUGGUUUCCAGUUUUGAUGAAGGAAAGUCUUGCGAACCUUAUCAUUUAGAGGAAGGAGAAGUCGUAACA
RNAcentral lists this ribosomal RNA (324 nucleotides) under uncultured eukaryote. RNAcentral describes it as "partial 18S ribosomal RNA". It matches the Rfam family "Eukaryotic small subunit ribosomal RNA", at positions 1470 to 1796 of the family's 1831-position model. The record is from RNAcentral.